Molecule: ribosomal RNA, 467 nt
Filed under: uncultured bacterium
Lineage: Bacteria
Description: partial 16S ribosomal RNA
Rfam family: Bacterial small subunit ribosomal RNA
Source: RNAcentral
GACGAACGCUGGCGGCGUGCUUAACACAUGCAAGUCGAACGGAAAGGCUCCAGCUUGCUGGAGUACUCGAGUGGCGAACGGGUGAGUAACACGUGGGUAAUCUGCCCUGCACUCUGGGAUAAGCCUGGGAAACUGGGUCUAAUACUGGAUAUGACCUUUCUCCUUAUGGGGUUUGGUGGAAAGUUUUUCGGUUUAGGAUGAGCCCGCGGCCUAUCAGCUUGUUGGUGGGGUGAUGGCCUACCAAGGCGACGCCGGGUAGCCGGCCUGAGCGGGGGAUCGGCCACAUGAGGACUGAGAGACGCAGCAGACUCCUACGGGAGGCAGCAGUGGGGAAUAUUGCGCAAUGGGCGGAAGCCUGAUGCAGCGACGCCGCGUGCGGGAUAACGGCCUUCGGGUUGUAAACCUCUUUCUACAGGGACGAAGCGUAAGUGACGGUACCUGCAGAAGAAGCACCGGCUAACUAUGUG